RNAcentral lists this long non-coding RNA (1865 nucleotides) under Macaca fascicularis (crab-eating macaque). RNAcentral describes it as "lncRNA (ENSMFAG00000048707.1)". Lineage: Eukaryota; Metazoa; Chordata; Mammalia; Primates; Cercopithecidae. The record is from RNAcentral.
UUUUUUUUUUUUUUGAGACAGAGUCUCACUCUGUCGCCCAGGCUGGAGUGCAGUGGCGCGAACUCCGCUCACUGCAAGCUCCUCCUCCCAGGUUCACGCCGUUCUCCUGCCUCAGCCUCCCGAGUAGCUGGGACUACAGGUGCCCACCACCAUGCCUGGCUAACUUUUUGUAUUUUUAGUAGAGACAGGGUUUCACCGUGUUAGCCAGGAUGGUCUCGAUCUCCUGAUCUCGUGAUCCACCCGCCUCGGCCUCCCAAAGUGCUGGGAUUACAAGCGUGAGCCACCAUGCCUGGCCAACAGCAGGUUUUUAGACUUGUAGGAAUUAAUUUCCACCUCUCCAUACAUGUCCAUGCCCUGUAUCUACGGGCUUGUUUCGGUAGGCCAGUUGUUCGUCAAUCAGUUCUUUUGCUUCCAUAAAUUAAUCACACAGGCUAUCGAUGUCUAAAAUGUCUGUCAUUCUAAAACACUUCAAAGCACAUUGGAUGUCAUCAUAAGGUAAGCCUCUUUUCUCUGGAAAAAUGGUUUCAAAGCAGGGAGGUACUUUGAACUUGUGAAAUUGAAGCUGGAUUCCAAAUAAGUUGCAGUUUUAGUAAAGAAAUUGAGAAAAUCCUGUUUAACUUGGCUGUCCUUUCCUAGUGAUAAUUUUUUAAGUUCCAAAGCAGUCUUAUUUCCAAGGAAUGAGUCAUUUGUUCACUAGAUGAGUUUUUGUCACAACCUACACCUAAAUGGAACGAGUUAGAUGCACUUAGUUCAUCCUUUUCUGUAGCUUUUUUAAAGAUUAUGAAACAGUCUUGGAGAAACGGCAUAUACAUUUCCAUUUUACAGUAAUCCUUUUCUCCGUUCUCAUACUAAAUGUAUUUCCAAAGUAGUGAAGGACAUUCUUCUCAUCCUACACUUUGAAAAUAUGAUUUUAUAGUAGGCCAACAUGCCAACAUCUUUUCUACAAGACGUCUUGUAGGCAUAUGUCUAAGAAGGCUAUCUCCUUCCACUUCCAUAAAAAUCAAAAAUCUCAUGAAGUACCUCUGCAUGCUUUGAGGAAACUGAAAAGUAAACAAAAAUGUCAUUACGAAAGUGUCAAUGUCACAGGUAGGCAAAUCACACCUCUUUUUAGCAGUGUUAUGUAAAAGGUACAGAGGGGUCAGGACGUUUAGCAGGAAAUUUCUUAAAUUUCCUUUGGUAAGUUUAUAGACUGAAUGGAAUUUUCCAAAAUUUACAUUUGCACCAUUUGCAAAUAUGCAGAUAGAUGAGUAAGUCUAGUUUGCAUUUGAACACAAUAUCAACAAUCUUUUGUUUUAUGUAUUCUGUGAUUUCAUCACAAUCUUCAUUGAAGUCAGGAAAACAACUUGAAACUCCCUUUUCCAAAUAAAAAAUACCUAAGAGACAGGGAGAACAUGUUUUUGUUGCCGUGAUUCCACACAUUGCUUGAUAGAGUUUAGAAUGCAUGCUUGUUGGAGUAGUUCUCAGAAUCAGUUCUAUACCAUAAAGGGUCAACCCAUCUGUUAUCAAAAUUUCCCCUUUUGUUCCCACUUGGGCCAUUUCAGUUGCAACUUCUGAAUCAGGAAAUGUAACUUCACUCAGUUUCAUACAGCUUCAAGGAAAAAAUAUGAUAAUGAGAGUUUGUUUGUGUGAUAAGCCCAGGUGAAUUCAGUGGCUGCUAUUUUCAACUGGGCAUUAAUGUCUUUUUGGAAGAUGAGAAAACUUGAAAGAUUGAUUGAUUGAUUUAGAAGUACCUGUCCCCUCCCAGACUGGUGAGAUUCAGAUCCAUAUGAGUGAACAGCUCUCCCCUACCUCAGGCAGGGCUGCUGCACACAACCCAGGAGGUACUCCCUGCACUGCAAGGACAACAGAAGAGCAUCUCUGGGGAC